Molecule: non-coding RNA, 29 nt
Filed under: Macaca fascicularis (crab-eating macaque)
Lineage: Eukaryota; Metazoa; Chordata; Mammalia; Primates; Cercopithecidae
Also listed under: 3 other names
Source: RNAcentral
UGCAAGUAUGAGCAUGAUGACAUUGUGUC